AUUGAACGCUGGCGGCAGGCCUAACACAUGCAAGUCGAACGGUAACAGGAAACAGCUUGCUGUUUCGCUGACGAGUGGCGGACGGGUGAGUAAUGUCUGGGAAACUGCCUGAUGGAGGGGGAUAACUACUGGAAACGGUAGCUAAUACCGCAUAACGUCGCAAGACCAAAGAGGGGGACCUUCGGGCCUCUUGCCAUCGGAUGUGCCCAGAUGGGAUUAGCUAGUAGGUGGGGUAACGGCUCACCUAGGCGACGAUCCCUAGCUGGUCUGAGAGGAUGACCAGCCACACUGGAACUGAGACACGGUCCAGACUCCUACGGGAGGCAGCAGUGGGGAAUAUUGCACAAUGGGCGCAAGCCUGAUGCAGCCAUGCCGCGUGUAUGAAGAAGGCCUUCGGGUUGUAAAGUACUUUCAGCGGGGAGGAAGGGGGUAAAGUUAAUACCUUGGCUCAUUGACGUUACCCGCAGAAGAAGCACCGGCUAACUCCGUG
This 490-nucleotide ribosomal RNA is filed under the name uncultured bacterium. RNAcentral's name for it is "partial 16S ribosomal RNA". It matches the Rfam family "Bacterial small subunit ribosomal RNA", at positions 30 to 507 of the family's 1533-position model. The record is from RNAcentral.